Molecule: small nuclear RNA, 104 nt
Organism: Bison bison bison
Lineage: Eukaryota; Metazoa; Chordata; Mammalia; Artiodactyla; Bovidae
Source: Ensembl
GUGCUCACUUUGGCAGCACAUACACUAAAAUUGGAAGGAUACAGAGAUUAGCAUGGCCCCUGCACAAGGAUGACAUGCAAAUUCGAGAAGCAUUCCUUAUUUUU